RNAcentral lists this ribosomal RNA (563 nucleotides) under Arthrobacter sp. BL18. Its description in RNAcentral is "bacterial SSU rRNA". It matches the Rfam family "Bacterial small subunit ribosomal RNA", at positions 78 to 653 of the family's 1533-position model. Lineage: Bacteria; Bacillati; Actinomycetota; Actinomycetes; Micrococcales; Micrococcaceae. The record is from RNAcentral.
GCUUGCACUGGGGAUUAGUGGCGAACGGGUGAGUAACACGUGAGUAACCUGCCCUUGACUCUGGGAUAAGCCUGGGAAACUGGGUCUAAUACCGGAUAUGACUCCUCAUCGCAUGGUGGGGGGUGGAAAGCUUUUGUGGUUUUGGAUGGACUCGCGGCCUAUCAGCUUGUUGGUGGGGUAAUGGCCUACCAAGGCGACGACGGGUAGCCGGCCUGAGAGGGUGACCGGCCACACUGGGACUGAGACACGGCCCAGACUCCUACGGGAGGCAGCAGUGGGGAAUAUUGCACAAUGGGCGAAAGCCUGAUGCAGCGACGCCGCGUGAGGGAUGACGGCCUUCGGGUUGUAAACCUCUUUCAGUAGGGAAGAAGCCGCGAGGUGACGGUACCUGCAGAAGAAGCGCCGGCUAACUACGUGCCAGCAGCCGCGGUAAUACGUAGGGCGCAAGCGUUAUCCGGAAUUAUUGGGCGUAAAGAGCUCGUAGGCGGUUUGUCGCGUCUGCUGUGAAAGACCGGGGCUCAACUCCGGUUCUGCAGUGGGUACGGGCAGACUACAGUGCAGUA